Molecule: unclassified non-coding RNA, 268 nt
Filed under: uncultured fungus
Lineage: Eukaryota; Fungi
Description: partial contains small subunit ribosomal RNA, internal transcribed spacer 1, and 5.8S ribosomal RNA
Rfam family: Eukaryotic small subunit ribosomal RNA (bases 1-73)
Source: RNAcentral
CCAAACUUGGUCAUUUAGAGGAAGUAAAAGUCGUAACAAGGUCUCCGUUGGUGAACCAGCGGAGGGAUCAUUAUAGAGUUUUUUUUUAACUCCCAACCCAUGUGAACUUACCUUUGUUGCCUCGGUGGUUACCUACCCGGUGCCUACCCCGUAGCCCGCCGACGGAUUUUCAAACUAUUGUUAUUAUUUGUUAUCUGAAUGUCUUAUUUAAUAAGUCAAAACUUUCAACAACGGAUCUCUUGGUUCUGGCAUCGAUGAAGAACGCAGC